GAGGAUAUAGCUCAGUGAUAGAGCACAUCUUUAGUAAUCAUGAGGUCUUGGGUUAAAAUCCCAGUAUCUCCA
This 72-nucleotide transfer RNA is filed under the name Camelus dromedarius (Arabian camel). It matches the Rfam family "tRNA". From Rfam's summary of the family: Transfer RNA (tRNA) molecules are approximately 80 nucleotides in length. Their secondary structure includes four short double-helical elements and three loops (D, anti-codon, and T loops). RNAcentral also lists the same sequence under 2 other names. The record is from Rfam by way of RNAcentral. Lineage: Eukaryota; Metazoa; Chordata; Mammalia; Artiodactyla; Camelidae.